CAUGCACUCGUGAGUUUUUCAAAGACCUCAAAUAGCACUCGUCCUUCGGACUCACUCGUGCAUGUCAUAUCUAAAUUGCACUCAAAACCAUACAAUUACAUAUACUAUUAACUAGCAAAUUUUAACGCAGCUACAGUACGUGUUUUCAGAGUAUACGAAUAACAUGAAAACUGAAAAUGACAUGUGUAAAAUAAAAUUCAUAGAAAGUCAACGUUACAAUUAUACGUUCAUAUUAAAUAGAGGUC
Non-coding RNA from Paramuricea clavata, 245 nucleotides. The record is from the annotation of a GenBank genome assembly. NCBI's taxonomy places the organism in Eukaryota, Metazoa, Cnidaria, Anthozoa, Malacalcyonacea, Plexauridae.